Molecule: ribosomal RNA, 468 nt
Filed under: uncultured bacterium
Lineage: Bacteria
Description: partial 16S ribosomal RNA
Rfam family: Bacterial small subunit ribosomal RNA
Source: RNAcentral
GACGAACGCUGGCGGCGUGCUUAACACAUGCCAGUCGAACGGAAAGGCCCUGCUUUUGUGGGGUGCUCGAAUGGCGAACGGGUGAGUAACACGUGAGUAACCUGCCCUUGACUUUGGGAUAACUUCAGGAAACUGGGGCUAAUACCGGAUAGGAGCUCCUGCUGCAUGGUGGGGGUUGGAAAGUUUCGGCGGUUGGGGAUGGACUCGCGGCUUAUCAGCUUGUUGGUGGGGUAGUGGCUUACCAAGGCUUUGACGGGUAGCCGGCCUGGGAGGGUGGCCGGCCACAUUAGGACUGAGAUACGGCGCAGACGGCUACGGGAGGCAGCAGGGGGGAAUAUUGCGCAAUGGGCGGAAGCCUGAUGCAGCAACGCCGCGUGCGGGAUGACGGCCUUCGGGUUGUAAACCGCUUUCGCCUGUGACGAAGCGUGAGUGACGGUAAUGGGUAAAGAAGCACCGGCUAACUACGUG